GAAUACUCUGUAUAUUGUUCUAUCUCGGUGUAGGUCCAACCGUCCAGUUUCUCGAAAACAGUUUUAGUCAAUGUUGGGCUGAAACCCCUUAAACUUACUAAGUAGCGUUCUUCCUUUGUUGAAAUCUCAUUUCAAUGACGAUGUAUUGUGUUGCGUGUUGGUUAAGGUGAAGCAAGGAAAAAACCAUUGACGGUGUAUUUUGCUGCAUGUUUCAGUCAAUUUGUUGGACAAAUUACAUGUAUGUGUUUUCUCGAGCCCA
Molecule: long non-coding RNA, 259 nt
Filed under: Hordeum vulgare
Lineage: Eukaryota; Viridiplantae; Streptophyta; Magnoliopsida; Poales; Poaceae
Description: long non-coding RNA (HVUL_LNC021031)
Source: RNAcentral